RNAcentral lists this long non-coding RNA (258 nucleotides) under Apteryx owenii (little spotted kiwi). RNAcentral's name for it is "lncRNA (ENSAOWG00000012812.1)". Lineage: Eukaryota; Metazoa; Chordata; Aves; Apterygiformes; Apterygidae. The record is from RNAcentral.
CAAAGAGUCAUGCCGAAUCACCACCAAUGAUAGAAUUGGCAGUAUUAUAAAGCUGUCAGAGAAACAGUGUUUCAGGUCGCUUUUCCAUCCAGAAUUGUUACAAAAGGUUGAAGUCUUAGAGAAGUUUGGAACCUGAAUAUCAAACAGAAAGGUUCAACUUGGAUCAGUUGUAAUAUUUUGUAGAGAGUCCAAUGGCACGUAAUAAUUAACAUGAGCAGAAUGCAGGAAGAACAGAAAGCAGGGGAGCUGGGAACAGAC